This 459-nucleotide ribosomal RNA is filed under the name uncultured bacterium. RNAcentral's name for it is "partial 16S ribosomal RNA". It matches the Rfam family "Bacterial small subunit ribosomal RNA", at positions 338 to 795 of the family's 1533-position model. The record is from RNAcentral.
CCUACGGGUGGCAGCAGUGAGGAAUAUUGGUCAAUGGGCGUAAGCCUGAACCAGCCAAGUCGCGUGAGGGAUGAAGGUUCUAUGGAUCGUACACCUCUUUUAUAAGGGAAUAAAGUGUGGGACGUGUCCUAUUUGUAUGUACCUUAUGAAUAAGGAUCGGCUAACUCCGUGCCAGCUGCCGCGGUAAUAAGGAGGCGCCGAGCGUUAUCCGGAUUUAUUGGUUUUAAAGGGUGCGUAGGCGGCCUUUUAAGUCAGCGGUGAAAGUCUUGGGCUCACCCAUAGAAUUGCCGUUGAAACUGGGGGGCUUGAGUAUGUUUGAGGCAGGCGGAAUGCGUGGGGGAGCGGUGAAAUGCUUAGAUAUCACGCAGAACCCCGAUUGCGAAGGCAGCCUGCCAAGCCAUGACUGACGCUGAUGCACGAAAGCGUGGGGAUCAAACAGGAUUAGAUACCCUUGUAGUC